GCAUAGAUAAUGUGCCCCUUAGUUCGGGAUAGCCACUGGAAACGGUGAUUAAUACCGGAUACUCCUUCUUGUUAUAAGACAAGUCGGGAAAGUUUUUCGCUAAGGGAUCAGUCUAUGUUCCAUCAGCUUGUUGGUGAGGUAAUGGCUCACCAAGGCUAUGACGGAUAUCUGGUUUGAGAGGAUGAUCAGACACACUGGAACUGAGACACGGUCCAGACUCCUACGGGAGGCAGCAGUGAGGAAUAUUGCACAAUGGAGGAAACUCUGAUGCAGCAACGCCGCGUGGAGGAUGACGCAUUUCGGUGUGUAAACUCCUUUUAUUAGGGAAGAUAAUGACGGUACCUAAUGAAUAAGCACCGGCUAACUCCGUGCCAGCAGCCGCGGUAAUACGGAGGGUGCAAGCGUUACUCGGAAUCACUGGGCGUAAAGGGUGCGUAGGCUGGCUUUUAAGUCAGAUGUGAAAUCCAAUGGCUCAACCAUUGAACUGCAUUUGAAACUGAAAGCCUAGAGUUCAGAAGGGGCAGAUGGAAUUAGUGGUGUAGGGGUAAAAUCCGUAGAUAUCACUAGGAAUAUCAAAAGCGAAGGCGAUCUGCUGGGAU
Molecule: ribosomal RNA, 599 nt
Filed under: uncultured bacterium
Lineage: Bacteria
Description: bacterial SSU rRNA
Rfam family: Bacterial small subunit ribosomal RNA
Source: RNAcentral